RNAcentral lists this ribosomal RNA (253 nucleotides) under uncultured bacterium. RNAcentral describes it as "partial 16S ribosomal RNA". It matches the Rfam family "Bacterial small subunit ribosomal RNA", at positions 524 to 776 of the family's 1533-position model. The record is from RNAcentral.
UACGUAGGGGGCUAGCGUUGUUCGGAAUCACUGGGCGUAAAGCGCACGUAGGCGGAUUGUUAAGUCGGGGGUGAAAUCCUGAGGCUCAACCUCAGAACUGCCUUCGAUACUGGCAAUCUCGAGUCCGGAAGAGGUUGGUGGAACAGCUAGUGUAGAGGUGAAAUUCGUAGAUAUUAGCUAGAACACCAGUGGCGAAGGCGGCCAACUGGUCUGGUACUGACGCUGAGGUGCGAAAGCGUGGGGAGCAAACAGG